UACAGAGGGUGCGAGCGUUAAUCGGAAUUACUGGGCGUAAAGCGUGCGUAGACGGUUUCGUAAGUCGGGUGUGAAAUCCCCGGGCUCAACCUGGGAAUUGCAUUCGAAACUGCGAGGCUAGGGUACGGAAGAGGGAAGCGGAAUUUCUGGUGUAGCGGUGAAAUGCGUAGAUAUCAGGAGGAACACCGAUGGCGAAGGCAGGUCUCUGGGCCGAUACUGACGCUGAGGAGCGAAAGCGUGGGGAGCGAACAGG
RNAcentral lists this ribosomal RNA (253 nucleotides) under uncultured bacterium. RNAcentral's name for it is "partial 16S ribosomal RNA". It matches the Rfam family "Bacterial small subunit ribosomal RNA", at positions 524 to 776 of the family's 1533-position model. The record is from RNAcentral.